Molecule: long non-coding RNA, 239 nt
Filed under: Lathyrus oleraceus (garden pea)
Lineage: Eukaryota; Viridiplantae; Streptophyta; Magnoliopsida; Fabales; Fabaceae
Description: Pisum sativum (pea) long non-coding RNA (PSAT_LNC003679)
Source: RNAcentral
UCUUGUUUCAUGUUAUUUUGUACAUAGUUGAGUUAAUCAUCACCAUUUGAAAAGUUAUAAUCUUGAUGUAUUAUAGUUGUGUCAUGUUAUUAUUUUUUCUAGGCCGACCAAAUCGAUCAAGGACUAUUACGGGCCGAUCUCAUCGACCCCGACCAACCACUAGGGAUGGGGUCUCAAUCCUUCUGCAAUCUUCCCAAAUUAUGAACAUUAUCAUCCUUAUAACUAUAAGAGAUCUCAAC